AAGAAACCAACAGGGAUUGCCUCAGUAACGGCGAGUGAAGCGGCAAAAGCUCAAAUUUGAAAUCUAGUGCCUUCGGUACUCGAGUUGUAAUUUGAAGAUGGCAACUUUGGAAAUGGCCUUUAUCUAUGUUCCUUGGAACAGGACGUCACAGAGGGUGAGAAUCCCGUCUGAUGAGGUGAUCCAUUUCUUUGUAAAGUGCUUUCGAAGAGUCGAGUUGUUUGGGAAUGCAGCUCUAAGUGGGUGGUAAAUUCCAUCUAAAGCUAAAUAUUGGCGAGAGACCGAUAGCGAACAAGUACAGUGAUGGAAAGAUGAAAAGAACUUUGAAAAGAGAGUGAAAAAGUACGUGAAAUUGUUGAAAGGGAAGGGUAUUAGAUCAGACUUGGUUGUUUACGAUUAUCUUUCCCUUGUGGAUUGUGCACUCGUGCUCAGCUGGGCCAGCAUCGAUUGGUGUGGUGAGAUAAUGACUGUUGGAACGUGGCCUUCGGGUGUUAUAGCCUUCAGUAAAUAUCACCUACGUCGAUCGAGGACU
Molecule: ribosomal RNA, 529 nt
Filed under: Wickerhamomyces aff. alni PLE2W3
Lineage: Eukaryota; Fungi; Ascomycota; Saccharomycetes; Phaffomycetales; Wickerhamomycetaceae
Description: LSU rRNA
Rfam family: Eukaryotic large subunit ribosomal RNA
Source: RNAcentral